RNAcentral lists this ribosomal RNA (327 nucleotides) under uncultured eukaryote. RNAcentral describes it as "partial 18S ribosomal RNA". It matches the Rfam family "Eukaryotic small subunit ribosomal RNA", at positions 1470 to 1796 of the family's 1831-position model. The record is from RNAcentral.
CCCUUAGAUGUUCUGGGCCGCACACGCGCUACACUGAAGGAGGCAGCGUGUACUCCUGGAUCGAAAGAUUUGGGUAACCCGCGAAUCUCCUUCGUGCUAGGGAUUGAGGUUUGCACUUAUCCUUCAUGAACGAGGAAUUCCCAGUAAGUGCAAGUCAUAAGCUUGCGCUGACUACGUCCCUGCCCUUUGUACACACCGCCCGUCGCUACUACCGAUUGAAUGAUUUAGUGAGGACUUCGGACUGGGACCGAUGCGGCUUUCGGGCUGCGUCGGUAUUCUGGAAAGAUGUCCAAACUGUAUCAUUUAGAGGAAGUAAAAGUCGUAACA